ACAAACCGGGUUCAGUUUCGUCA
Molecule: small nuclear RNA, 23 nt
Filed under: Arabidopsis thaliana (thale cress)
Lineage: Eukaryota; Viridiplantae; Streptophyta; Magnoliopsida; Brassicales; Brassicaceae
Description: snRNA_01821
Source: RNAcentral